GAUGAACGCUGACAGAAUGCUUAACACAUGCAAGUCAACUUGAACUUCGGUUUGGGUGGCGGACGGGUGAGUAACGCGUAAAGAACUUGCCUCACAGAUAGGGACAACAUUUGGAAACGAAUGCUAAUACCUGAUAUUAUGAUUAUAUGGCAUCGUAUAAUUAUGAAAGCUAUAUGCGCUGUGAGAGAGCUUUGCGUCCCAUUAGCUAGUUGGAGAGGUAACGGCUCACCAAGGCGAUGAUGGGUAGCCGGCCUGAGAGGGUGAUCGGCCACAAGGGGACUGAGACACGGCCCUUACUCCUACGGGAGGCAGCAGUGGGGAAUAUUGGACAAUGGACCGAGAGUCUGAUCCAGCAAUUCUGUGUGCACGAUGAAGUUUUUCGGAAUGUAAAGUGCUUUCAGUUGGGAAGAAAAAAAUGACGGUACCAACAGAAGAAGUGACGGCUAAAUACGUG
Molecule: ribosomal RNA, 454 nt
Filed under: uncultured bacterium
Lineage: Bacteria
Description: partial 16S ribosomal RNA
Rfam family: Bacterial small subunit ribosomal RNA
Source: RNAcentral